Molecule: ribosomal RNA, 819 nt
Filed under: uncultured eukaryote
Lineage: Eukaryota
Description: SSU rRNA
Rfam family: Eukaryotic small subunit ribosomal RNA
Source: RNAcentral
CGGUGUUUAACUGGCGUGAUGUGGGACGUCCUACCGGUGGGCUUAGCCUCGCGAGGGGCGGCCCAACUAAUAUCCCGUCGCGGUGCUCUUUACUGAGUGUCGAGUCGGGCCGGUACGUUUACUUUGAACAAAUUAGAGUGCUUAAAGCAGGCUAUCCUCGCCUGAAUACUGCGUGCAUGGAAUAAUGGAAUAGGACCUCGGUUCUAUUUUGUUGGUUUUCGGAACCCCGAGGUAAUGAUUAAUAGGGACAGAUGGGGGCAUUCGUAUUGCGACGUUAGAGGUGAAAUUCUUGGAUCGUCGCAAGACGGACAGAAGCGAAAGCAUUUGCCAAAAAUGUUUUCAUUAAUCAAGAACGAAAGUUAGAGGUUCGAAGGCGAUCAGAUACCGCCCUAGUUCUAACCAUAAACGAUGCCAGCUAGCGAUCCGCCGAAGUUCCUCCGAUGACUCGGCGGGCAGCUUCCGGGAAACCAAAGCUUUUGGGUUCCGGGGGAAGUAUGGUUGCAAAGCUGACACUUAAAGGAAUUGACGGAAGGGCACCACCAGGAGUGGAGCCUGCGGCUUAAUUUGACUCAACACGGGAAACCUCACCAGGCCCAGACACCGGAAGGAUUGACAGAUUGAUAGCUCUUUCUUGAUUCGGUGGGUGGUGGUGCAUGGCCGUUCUUAGUUGGUGGAGCGAUUUGUCUGGUUAAUUCCGAUAACGAACGAGACUCUAGCCUGCUAAAUAGGCGUACCUUAUGGUAUCGCGAAGGCCCCCGGCUUCGGCCGGUGGGUUUUUACUACCAACGUACAAACAAAUCUUCUUAGAGGGACAGGCGG